UACGUAGGGUGCAAGCGUUAAUCGGAAUUACUGGGCGUAAAGCGUGCGUAGACGGUUACGUAAGUCGGAUGUGAAAGCCCCGGGCUCAACCUGGGAAUGGCAUUCGAGACUGUGUAGCUAGGAUGCGGAAGAGGGAAGCGGAAUUUCCGGUGUAGCGGUGAAAUGCGUAGAUAUCGGAAGGAACACCAGUGGCGAAAGCGGCUUCCUGGUCCAGCAUCGACGUUCAGGCACGAAAGCGUGGGGAGCAAACAGG
This 253-nucleotide ribosomal RNA is filed under the name uncultured bacterium. RNAcentral describes it as "partial 16S ribosomal RNA". It matches the Rfam family "Bacterial small subunit ribosomal RNA", at positions 524 to 776 of the family's 1533-position model. The record is from RNAcentral.